GACGAACGCUGGCGGCGUGCUUAACACAUGCAAGUCGAACGGAAAGGCCCUGCUUUUGUGGGGUGCUCGAGUGGCGAACGGGUGAGUAACACGUGAGUAACCUGCCCUUGACUUUGGGAUAACUCCAGGAAACUGGGGCUAAUACCGGAUAGGAGCUCCUGCUGCAUGGUGGGGGUUGGAAAGUUUCGGCGGUUGGGGAUGGACUCGCGGCUUAUCAGCUUGUUGGUGGGGUAGUGGCUUACCAAGGCUUUGACGGGUAGCCGGCCUGAGAGGGUGACCGGCCACAUUGGGACUGAGAUACGGCCCAGACUCCUACGGGAGGCAGCAGUGGGGAAUAUUGCACAAUGGGCGGAAGCCUGAUGCAGCAACGCCGCGUGCGGGAUGACGGCCUUCGGGUUGUAAACCGCUUCCGCCUGUGACGAAGCGUGAGUGACGGUAAUGGGUAAAGAAGCACCGGCUAACUACGUG
RNAcentral lists this ribosomal RNA (468 nucleotides) under uncultured bacterium. Its description in RNAcentral is "partial 16S ribosomal RNA". It matches the Rfam family "Bacterial small subunit ribosomal RNA", at positions 28 to 507 of the family's 1533-position model. The record is from RNAcentral.